RNA transcript from Mauremys mutica (yellowpond turtle), 5962 nucleotides. It is a transcript of the gene named cell division cycle associated 2, with no coding region annotated. The record is from RefSeq and is a predicted model, not a curated record. NCBI's taxonomy places the organism in Eukaryota, Metazoa, Chordata, Testudines, Geoemydidae. The transcript is spliced from 16 exons.
CUAUAUGGGGGGGGGGCGGGACUAGACCCUUGGGCACUGGGGCUCUUCUCCGCUGCCCCUCCCGGGGCCCUCUCACCUUCCCUCGCAGGACCUUUUUGUCAGUUGCUGCUGCUGCUGCACCCUCCAGUGACAGCACUGAGAAGCAGUGCAGUCUACUUGCCUUUCUCUUCGCGCAGCCCCCACUGCACCUCCUUUGGGUGGGGGGAGAGGAACGUGCACCAACAGCGAGCCCGUCCAACCGUCCCCUCUCCUCUUUUCUACCCAUCCCCGUCGCCCUCCGUUUCUUUAUGUGGCCCAGUCAUAUGCCAGACACCUCCUGUACCCCCAACAGCUGCCAAUCUAACUUCAGAUGUUAGCCCAACAAAGGGGACAAUAAAACAAUUAGAAAUAGGAAGGACAGUUGCAUCUUCUAACAACUUUACACCAUCUGCAUGUUGUGGCUGUUGCUUUUACAAAAAACCAUAAACAUGUUCUUACUGACAGAGCCGUGAUUACAAGAGAACAAGAAGACUGAUUGUAUUUUUUUGAAAGAUCAGAAUACAGCACUGACUAUGCGCAGACAAUCUAGACAAAUUGUAAACACUGUUGCUGACAUCAAAGAAAAUAUGAAUGGAAUUAUUGAAGAAGAUAGAGAUAUUUCUUCUAUGCCUGUUUCAAAAGACAAAAUUGUCAGAGUGGAUGAAUCAAAAAGCACAAAGGUUUCAGAAAUGGAAAAUUUAAAUGGCAGGAGCCCCACAAAUGUGCAGAAACCCAGAAUGAAAUGCAACAAAUAUGUGAGGAGAAAAUCAUAUCAGAAUAGUAAGGAUGAUAGUAAUCUAACAGUUAAUGAAAGCCUUUCUGUUAAACAAAAAGGAAACUUACUUGAACCUCCUUUGUCCUUUUUGACAUUAGACAAACUGCAAAGUCCUUUUUCAGAAGGCAGACCUACAUUUUUGGAUGCUGCACACUAUCUGACGCCAAACAAAGGUGAAGCAGAUGUAAAACCUGAUUGUGGAACCUUGGAGAAACUAAUGAAGAAACCUAUUGAUUUUGCUAGUGUAACUAUAGCUGAAUUUGGGAUUACUCCAGAGUCUUUUACUGCUAAGCCAUCUGUAGGGAAAUCCAUGGCUUUAAAACUUAGGCGCAGAUCUACAAUUGGAGUACGGGGUUCCCCUGAAAAUAAUAGCCUUAUUCGAUACCUUGCCCAACAAAGGAGGAACAGAACCGAAGACCCUUUCACAAAGCAGGCCAGCCCUUUUAAACAUCAAAAUGUUGGCUCGCUAAAGGAUAAAAUAUCUGCCUUCCAAUCAUCUUUUCAAUCAGCGCAAGAGGACGAAGAGAGGGCUUGCUUUCCUGGGCUCUCGCAGGAGGAGAGUGUGUCCCAGGGAGCAGGCUAUUCUCAGAACAAACCACCUUUUACAAAACAGCAUGAACAGUCUCAGUUGAGCGAAAAGUUCGCAUCUGAACGCAAGAGUGUUGCUUACAGGGAAAAUUUGCAAGAAAAAUUAACUAAUGGUGAUAAAACUGCAGCCAGUAUCCAGGUAUGCAAGAUUCUCUCUCCACCAGAGGAGGUGGCCAUCAUUGAAACUACUACUGCUACAAUUUCAAAGGAAAUUCCCUGUACACCACCAGUUACUGAAUCUGGAAGCUUAUCUUUAGAGAUUAUUCAACUAACGGGCAUCCCAAAGACACCAAGCAACAUUACUUCUGAGUGUAUCAGUGAGGAAGUUGGAGGUAAUACUGGAUCACAGCUAAGCAGAAAGAAAGUUACCUUUGCAGAAGAACUGAGCUUGGAGAUAUUUGAUGAAACCAUGCCACUUGUUACGCCACCACAAAAGGGAAACCUUCCAUCCAGUGAACAAUCACUUAACGGCUCCUCUUGCCUUCGAUCUGUUCUGAAGAAAACACCAGUAAAACUACUGAUGGAAAAUGUGAAGGAACUCGUAAGCAAUACUAUUGGCAUGGAAGGAAAUGAACCUCUUUUAUUCUCUGAUCUCUCAAGAAGUUGUGAAGAACUGCAAACAGAUAGAAGCAAUACUAAAACAAUAGACAGAACUGAUGUGUACAGCUCUGAAAAGCCAAUGAAGAGAAAGAAGGUUACUUUUGGAGAGGAUCUAAGCCCAGAAGUAUUUGAUAAAACCUUGCCUGCAAAUACACCAUUGCGUAAAGGAGCGUCCCCAAUCAGUAACCCAGGAUCACAAAGCGAUAGCCCUUCCACAGUAAUAAGUCCUAUGAGAGAACCUUUAUCUCAGCCAAAUUUUGAUGACUGUGAUGGUGAUGAUGAAUAUGUUAAGCCUCUUCAAGAGUCUGUAGCAGUCCCUGAGAAUAUGAAAGAAAUUAAUUCCUCUGAUAACAAAAACUCUUGUACCAGAAUAACCCGGUCCUCUACUAAAAGAAAGUAUAGCAACAUUUCAGAAGAGACUGGUGUUACCAUCUCGACAGAUAUAACAGUGAAAAAUGCUCAAGAUCUUAAAAAUCUAAGAAAGGGCAAGGUUCAAAGAGGAAAGGAAAACAAAUCUGCCCCCAGAAGGAUACCAAAGGUAAAACAUAAAGGUUAUGGAGGAAAAAGAGGAAAGAAAAAGGUAGAAAAAUCCUUGUAUGGUCAGAGAGAAGUAGCUUCCAAGAAACCUCUUUUGAGCCCAAUUCCUGAGAUCCCAGAGGUCUUGUCUUCUGCACCAUCUUCUCCAAACUCACCUAAGACACACUUUCUGCUCUUCUCAGAUUAUUCCAAAUCCAGCAAUGCACACAUAGGAUCUAUGAAUGAAGUUGUUGAACAGAAAAAAGUGGUUGGAAGAAUCAGAAGGAAAGUGCCUAUAACAAACAAACGUCCAAACACUAAAGAACUUGACAUUGUAGAAGCCAGCAGCACCAGUGGCAUUGAGUGUCAGUCAUCAGACAGUGGCCCUGAUCCUACUUCAACCAUUAAUAUUGAGGUGCUUAAUAUACAGGAAAACAUUCAAACAGAAAAUGAGCGGGGAUCACCCUUAAUGUCACUAGAACAGAAAGAGAGUGAUGUUUGUGUGAAUAAUCAGACCAGUGAAGAAGACAGCAAUGCUAAGACCAGCUGUCAGCAGUCUGAGCCCAGUUCACCUAUCAUUGUAAAAUCAAAUUCUCUUUUGCCACUACUAAACACUAUUACGCAAGAAAUUAAGAGUACUUCCCCACUUGAUACAUCUGGCGACAAAGAACAUGAAAAAGCGAGAGAUGUCUUAAUAGAAAAUGGAUGUGUACUGGAAAGUGAUCAUCCUUCAAAUAACUCAGAGAUGCUAAAGGAGCUAGAGUUCUUAAACCUGCAGGACAUCAGUGUAAGUGAAAAUACUCAAACUGGAUGUUCUAUUACAGACUUUGCAAGAAAACGAACAGCUGACAGUGAUGCCAGUCUUAAAAGGUUCAAAAGGUCUUCAAUAAAAGGCAGGAGAAGCACGAUGUACCUUUCUGAACUUGAGAAUCUCCAUUUUGAAGCAUCUGGAAACAAUCUCUCUAAUUCCUAUUCUAAUGAGCAAGAACCCCGAAUAGAAAAUGACUCGGAAAUGUUUUAUGAUCUACAUUACUCUAUAGAACAGUCCUUCUUGAAGGUGAGUGAAGAUCGUGAAAAAAAGGUAAGACGCAGUAUGAGGCUGCAGAAAAAUGCAGAAAAUGAGGGACUUGUGUGGAUUAAAAUACCUAUUGAGAUUCACAAGAACUCUUUGUCAGAUUCUGCUUACAAAUCAAGGAGGACGAUGGAUGCAUCCAUCUUUAAAGAAUCUGAGAACAUUCAUCAAAGACAAGAAAAUUGGAUCCAAUUUUCAGCUUUGGGGAAAGAGAACAAUGAGUGUGUUCCUGUUGCAGGGGGUUCUUGCAAAACACACAGGAGGCGCAUGUGUACAUCCACUUCCCAGGAAACCAAAAAUAUAACUCAAACACGGAAAAAGAGAAGGGCAAGCCUUGUGUACAAUGAUAAACAUUAUCAAAAGGAGUCUGAAGUGGAAGCAUCCUUUGAGAACCAUCCUAAUGCCUAGGCAAAUUGGACCAUCCAAUUUUUUUUUUUUUUUUAAAAGAUUUCAAAAACAAGCUAACAAAUAGAGAACCUCUACAACUAACAUAACAGUGAAGAAAGCUCCUGCUGGGGUGCAGACUUUUCCCAUGUUCUGCAGAGACUUUGCUUUACCAUCUUGGCACCAGCAGAGACCAACUGCCAGUCUUUCAGAAACCAGAACUACUCAGGCAACUUUGCAAGAAACUUCAUCAAAAGAUAUCUUUUGUGUUGUACUGUUGAUGAUGAACUGUCACUGAAAUCAGGACCCAUCCACUUUCUUUUACUGUUUCAUCAACCCUUUUUUUUCAAGUCUUCAUUAACUAAAUGUUUGCAUGUUUAUCUGCUCUUCCUGUUCUCCACAUUUUUGGAACUUGAACUCAUUUCUGGAAGAGAGUAGAAUAUGUUCUCUCAAAUGUUAGCAAAAUUAAAUCUACCACAGUGAAAAUUUUAGACUUUGGUUUAGAAGAUAGGAGCAUAUUCAGUUAAAUUUUAUUGGAAUAGCAAUAUCUUUGUUUUACCAGCAGAGGGCAGUGUGGCAUGAAUUUUGCACUGGGGUAGACCUAGACAAACCAAACUUCUUUGUGAAAACUGUCAUAGAUUUAAAAAAAAAAAAUCUUUAAACAGUUCCCAGACCAGAAUACUGAAAUGUCAUAAUCACUUGUUGGUUCAAAACAAACUGUUAAUAGCAGCUAACUCUGGUACUCAUAUUUUAUACUUAAUUAAUUUUCUUGCCUAUUUCAUAGCUUGUGGGGUGGGGUUGGAAGAAAUGAUUUAAAGGUUACAAUAAAACUAAAUUCAUUUUAUGAUUAAUAACAUAUACUGUAAUCAAUAUGAGAUAGUAAGCUCUGUGAAGAGCCCACACUUCACCUUGUCUUGCAAGACUGGGUGUUUCUAUUGGUCUUGACUAAAAUUGUACUUUUUCCUGGAAUAUAUUUUUCACCAGGUACUUAAGACAGUUUGUUUUACAUGGUAUAUAAGUUGCACUGCAGAUAUCUUACAGGACUAGGGUGAACCUCUUUAGUCCAGUAUUAAAGGGUUUGUUCAGGUGCUGGGAACAUUCUAAUGUCUGUAAGGCUGGAGAAAACUCUUCUUGUGUGAAAGAUGUAUAUCCCUUUUUCUUAAAAAUAGGAUAUCUAAGUAUAAAUAGAUUUUCUUUCCAGAAUAAUUACCCCAGUGAUUUGGUGGGGAGAGAGAGAGAGACCUGGUUAAAACAAAUGUGUAAACAGGGCCACAGUAUGUUUUAUGCAUAUCCUUGAAUCCUGUGUAAGAUCUAAAAUCACUUCUGCUAUUGGACACAGCUCUGUUGCCCACUGUGUGCAAAUCUUUUUUAACAAAGAUGAUAUGCAGUAUCAUUUGCGUGUCCAUUGCUGAGUACCAUUUACUUUGAUUCAUCUACCCAGCUGCUUUAGCAUUUAAACUUUCUUAAAGAUCACUUGUCCUCCAUAUAUGCAGCAUUAACUAAAAUUUUAAACCGCCUAUUCAAAAAUUGUUGUAACAAAAAAUAAUGAACCAGAAGAUGAUUGAGGAAGACUGAGAUUGUAAAUGGGAUUUGCACUGGUUAUCUGAGGCUAGAGGUUGGAACCUGAAAAGAGGUGGAAGAAAUUGUUGAGGUGCAAGAAAGUGUAGUAAGAGUCACUAGGGGUAAGAUAGGCCACAUCCUGGGAAUAAGGAUAAUGAGACAGUUCUGGUGUUAGAGAGUCAUUGGACUUUGGAGGAAAGCAGAUAUUCUGGGAUAGGAGGCUUUUCACCUGUGGCGGUGUGUGUGUAUGUGUGAGAGAGAGAGAGAAGCAUAAUAAAAAAAGGACUUGAAAAUCUCUCAGAAAUGCAUGCAAAUAAAACACUGCUCCUUUCACAAGGGAAAGUGUGUACCUAGACUCCUGGAGCCAUGUGAGAGCCACAGGGUGGUUACCAGGCUGCUGUGUAGGUACUGGAGCCAGGAAUCCAUCAAACUACCUGCAUUUUUCACAA